This 274-nucleotide ribosomal RNA is filed under the name uncultured bacterium. Its description in RNAcentral is "partial 16S ribosomal RNA". It matches the Rfam family "Bacterial small subunit ribosomal RNA", at positions 523 to 796 of the family's 1533-position model. The record is from RNAcentral.
CUACGGAGGGUGCAAGCGUUACUCGGAAUCACUGGGCGUAAAGGACGCGUAGGCGGAUUGGAAAGUCAGAUGUGAAAUCCUACAGCUUAACUGUAGAACUGCAUUUGAAACUUCUAAUCUAGAGUAUGGGAGGGGGAGAUGGAAUUAGUGGUGUAGGGGUAAAAUCCGUAGAUAUCACUAGGAAUACCGAAAGCGAAGGCGAUCUCCUGGAACAUAACUGACGCUAAGGCGUGAAAGCGUGGGGAGCAAACGGGAUUAGAAACCCCAGUAGUCC